This 587-nucleotide ribosomal RNA is filed under the name Escherichia coli. RNAcentral describes it as "partial 23S ribosomal RNA". It matches the Rfam family "Bacterial large subunit ribosomal RNA", at positions 1 to 628 of the family's 2925-position model. The record is from RNAcentral. Lineage: Bacteria; Pseudomonadati; Pseudomonadota; Gammaproteobacteria; Enterobacterales; Enterobacteriaceae.
GGUUAAGCGACUAAGCGUACACGGUGGAUGCCCUGGCAGUCAGAGGCGAUGAAGGACGUGCUAAUCUGCGAUAAGCGUCGGUAAGGUGAUAUGAACCGUUAUAACCGGCGAUUUCCGAAUGGGGAAACCCAGUGUGAUUCGUCACACUAUCAUUAACUGAAUCCAUAGGUUAAUGAGGCGAACCGGGGGAACUGAAACAUCUAAGUACCCCGAGGAAAAGAAAUCAACCGAGAUUCCCCCAGUAGCGGCGAGCGAACGGGGAGGAGCCCAGAGCCUGAAUCAGUGUGUGUGUUAGUGGAAGCGUCUGGAAAGGCGCGCGAUACAGGGUGACAGCCCCGUACACAAAAAUGCACAUGCUGUGAGCUCGAUGAGUAGGGCGGGACACGUGGUAUCCUGUCUGAAUAUGGGGGGACCAUCCUCCAAGGCUAAAUACUCCUGACUGACCGAUAGUGAACCAGUACCGUGAGGGAAAGGCGAAAAGAACCCCGGCGAGGGGAGUGAAAAAGAACCUGAAACCGUGUACGUACAAGCAGUGGGAGCCUCUUUAUGGGGUGACUGCGUACCUUUUGUAUAAUGGGUCAGCGACU